This is a non-coding RNA of Schistosoma margrebowiei, 45 nucleotides long. Lineage: Eukaryota; Metazoa; Platyhelminthes; Trematoda; Strigeidida; Schistosomatidae. The record is from Rfam.
AUUCAGUUGAAGAGUCCCAAAUAGAACGAAAUGCGAGUCCUGAAU